This 312-nucleotide ribosomal RNA is filed under the name Rhodosorus marinus. Its description in RNAcentral is "partial Eukaryotic large subunit ribosomal RNA". It matches the Rfam family "Eukaryotic large subunit ribosomal RNA", at positions 629 to 945 of the family's 3401-position model. Lineage: Eukaryota; Rhodophyta; Stylonematophyceae; Stylonematales; Stylonemataceae. The record is from RNAcentral.
ACGAAAUGGCUUUAUUCGACCCGUCUUGUAACACGGACCAAGGAGUCUAACAUAUCUGCGAGUAUUUGGGUGUCAAACCCGAGUGCGCAAUGAAAGUGAACGUAGGAGCGAUGCGCAAGCUGCAGCUUCGACCGAUCUGGAUCUUUAGUGAUGGAUUUGAGUAAGAGCAUAUAUGUUGGGACCCGAAAGAUGGUGAACUAUGCCUGAAUAGGGCGAAGCCAGAGGAAACUCUGGUGGAGGCUCGUAGCGAUUCUGACGUGCAAAUCGAUCGUCAAAUUUGGGUAUAGGGGCGAAAGACUAAUCGAACCAUCU